RNAcentral lists this transfer RNA (73 nucleotides) under Medicago truncatula (barrel medic). RNAcentral's name for it is "tRNA-OTHER". The record is from RNAcentral. Lineage: Eukaryota; Viridiplantae; Streptophyta; Magnoliopsida; Fabales; Fabaceae.
UCGUGGACUUAUCUCAGUUGGUAGAGAUAAUGCAUAAAAUAUAUAAAGUCUGGGUUCGAACCCCGGCCACUAA